Molecule: small nuclear RNA, 21 nt
Filed under: Arabidopsis thaliana (thale cress)
Lineage: Eukaryota; Viridiplantae; Streptophyta; Magnoliopsida; Brassicales; Brassicaceae
Description: snRNA_04148
Source: RNAcentral
AUUUUUGUUUGUUUUUCUUUC